Molecule: ribosomal RNA, 460 nt
Filed under: Bacillus sp. R-26048
Lineage: Bacteria; Bacillati; Bacillota; Bacilli; Caryophanales; Bacillaceae
Description: bacterial SSU rRNA
Rfam family: Bacterial small subunit ribosomal RNA
Source: RNAcentral
GAUGAACGCUGGCGGCGUGCCUAAUACAUGCAAGUCGAGCGAACCRAUUAAGAGCUUGCUCUUAAGAAGUUAGCGGCGGACGGGUGAGUAACACGUGGGUAACCUGCCUAUAAGACUGGGAUAACUCCGGGAAACCGGGGCUAAUACCGGAUAACAUUUUGCACCGCAUGGUGCGAAAUUGAAAGGCGGCUUCGGCUGUCACUUAUAGAUGGACCUGCGGCGCAUUAGCUAGUUGGUGAGGUAACGGCUCACCAAGGCGACGAUGCGUAGCCGACCUGAGAGGGUGAUCGGCCACACUGGGACUGAGACACGGCCCAGACUCCUACGGGAGGCAGCAGUAGGGAAUCUUCCGCAAUGGACGAAAGUCUGACGGAGCAACGCCGCGUGAACGAUGAAGGCUUUCGGGUCGUAAAGUUCUGUUGUUAGGGAAGAACAAGUGCUAGUUGAAUAAGCUGGCACC